Molecule: ribosomal RNA, 369 nt
Filed under: uncultured bacterium
Lineage: Bacteria
Description: bacterial SSU rRNA
Rfam family: Bacterial small subunit ribosomal RNA
Source: RNAcentral
GAAGGUGGCAAGCGUUAUUCGGAUUUACUGGGCGUACAGGGAGCGUAGGCGGUUCGGUAAGCCCUCUGUGAAAUCUUCAGGCUUAACUGGGAGGGUGCAGCGGAAACUAGAGUGCUAGAGGGUGGGAGAGGUAAGCGGAAUUCCUGGUGUAGCGGUGAAAUGCGUAGAUAUCAGGAGGAACACCUGUGGUGUAGACAGCUUACUGGACCACUUCUGACGCUGAGACACGAAAGCGUGGGUAGCAAACAGGAUUAGAUACCCUGGUAGUCCACGCCCUAAACGAUGCAUACUUGGUGUGAGCGAUUCAUUUCGUUCGUGCCGGAGCUAACGCGUUAAGUAUGCCGCCUGGGGAGUACGGUCGCAAGGCUG